AUGAACGCUGGCGGCGUGCCUAAUACAUGCAAGUCGAGCGAACAGACGAGGAGCUUGCUCCUCUGACGUUAGCGGCGGACGGGUGAGUAACACGUGGAUAACCUACCUAUAAGACUGGGAUAACUUCGGGAAACCGGAGCUAAUACCGGAGAAUAUAUUGAACCGCAUGGGUCAAUAGUGAAAGACGGUUUUGCUGUCACUUAUAGAUGGAUCCGCGCCGCAUUAGCUAGUUGGUAAGGUAACGGCUUACCAAGGCGACGAUGCGUAGCCGACCUGAGAGGGUGAUCGGCCACACUGGAACUGAGACACGGUCCAGACUCCUACGGGAGGCAGCAGUAGGGAAUCUUCCGCAAAGGGCGAAAGCCUGACGGAGCAACGCCGCGUGAGUGAUGAAGGUCUUCGGAUCGUAAAACUCUGUUAUUAGGGAAGAACAAAUGUGUAAGUAACUAUGCACGUCUUGACGGUACCUAAUCAGAAAGCCACGGCUAACUACGUG
Molecule: ribosomal RNA, 496 nt
Filed under: uncultured bacterium
Lineage: Bacteria
Description: partial 16S ribosomal RNA
Rfam family: Bacterial small subunit ribosomal RNA
Source: RNAcentral